This is a long non-coding RNA of Solanum pennellii, 844 nucleotides long. RefSeq lists it as uncharacterized. The transcript is spliced from 4 exons. The record is from RefSeq and is a predicted model, not a curated record. NCBI's taxonomy places the organism in Eukaryota, Viridiplantae, Streptophyta, Magnoliopsida, Solanales, Solanaceae.
AAAAUAUUUUUAAAAAAAACCAUGUUUUCUCAAAACCCACUGGUCCUAAAACGUUACAUAUUCUGAUCAUCAAGAACGACGCAACUCUCUUUUUCAUAUCGAUCAAGAGCAGAUUCUACCUAGGAUUUUCAAGAUCUUCCUUAAUGUCUUUUAUCCAUCAGAAACGUCGUCUCUAUUUGCUUCUCUCUACUACGAAAUUCUGGAGGAUAGCUUACUUGAUUCUUGCAAAUUUUGUGGUGCGUCAAGAUGGAGAACAAAUAAGCAUAGUGGGGAAACAAAGAAUAGAAAAGGUUUUGUUGAUCUUUUUGGAUAUCACUUGACAAAGACUGAAGUUUGAAAGUUUUCUGCUAGAGUUUUGUUCAUUCUUCAGUGGAUAGAUGCAAGUUUAGAAUGUUUGCUACGAAUGUUUUGCAAAACUUUUGAUGUUAUCGAAUAUUUUUUGUUAUGCAAAUAUCAUGAGGCUGAAAUUCACGAGCUUCUACAAUCUGAACCAAUAUUGAGAUAGUGGAAAGGUGCUUUUGACCAGCAUGCAAAAAGUCACGUAAUUAAAUUUGGUGGUGGAAUAACAAUUAAGGAGUUAAAAGGAUGUACCACUUCAAAGGCUGCAUUGUGGGAAGAUCUUAAAACAAGUCGAAAAGAAAAGGAAUCACUAUAAAAAUGCAUAGAUAUUCUAGAGUGUAAAUAUGAACACCUUGAAAAUAUAGUGACCCGUCAGUCUUCUUCAGUUCCAUUCAUUCCAUCAGAUUUGUAAAUAUUCUAUUAGUUAUUAUUACAUGAUGUUUAUUUGUGAAUGAAGUGAUGUUGUUUUCUGGUACUCCUCGUUUAUAUGGGCUUUGUUAUUGCA